RNAcentral lists this unclassified non-coding RNA (263 nucleotides) under plant metagenome. Its description in RNAcentral is "partial contains small subunit ribosomal RNA, internal transcribed spacer 1, and 5.8S ribosomal RNA". The record is from RNAcentral.
UUUCCGUAGGUGAACCUGCGGAAGGAUCAUUAUUGUAUAACCGAGGUGCGAGGGCUGUCGCUGACCCGAAAGGUCGUGCACGCCCGAGUGCCCGCACACACAUCCAUCUCACCCCUAUGUGCACCACCGCGUGGGUCCCCCUUUGGCUUGUUCGGAGGGGGGCUUACGUUUUCACACAAACUUUGUAUGCAGUGUAGAAUGUAUUGUUUGUUUUUGCGAUCGCGCAAUCAAUACAACUUUCAACAACGGAUCUCUUGGCUCUC